GGCCUAUCAGCUUGUUGGUGAGGUAAUGGCUCACCAAGGCGACGACGGGUAGCCGGCCUGAGAGGGUGACCGGCCACACUGGGACUGAGACACGGCCCAGACUCCUACGGGAGGCAGCAGUGGGGAAUAUUGCACAAUGGGCGAAAGCCUGAUGCAGCGACGCCGCGUGAGGGAUGACGGCCUUCGGGUUGUAAACCUCUUUCAGUAGGGAAGAAGCGAGAGUGACGGUACCUGCAGAAGAAGCGCCGGCUAACUACGUGCCAGCAGCCGCGGUAAUACGUAGGGCGCAAGCGUUAUCCGGAUUUAUUGGGCGUAAAGAGCUCGUAGGCGGUUUGUCGCGUCUGCCGUGAAAGUCCGAGGCUCAACCUCGGAUCUGCGGUGGGUACGGGCAGACUAGAGUGAUGUAGGGGAGACUGGAAUUCCUGGUGUAGCGGUGAAAUGCGCAGAUAUCAGGAGGAACACCGAUGGCGAAGGCAGGUCUCUGGGCAUUUACUGACGCUGAGGAGCGAAAGCAUGGGGAGCGAACAGGAUUAGAUACCCUGGUAGUCCAUGCCGUAAACGUUGGGCACUAGGUGUGGGGGACAUUCCACGUUUUCCGCGCCGUAGCUAACGCAUUAAGUGCCCCGCCUGGGGAGUACGG
This 640-nucleotide ribosomal RNA is filed under the name uncultured Arthrobacter sp. RNAcentral's name for it is "bacterial SSU rRNA". It matches the Rfam family "Bacterial small subunit ribosomal RNA", at positions 235 to 885 of the family's 1533-position model. The record is from RNAcentral. Lineage: Bacteria; Bacillati; Actinomycetota; Actinomycetes; Micrococcales; Micrococcaceae.